This 64-nucleotide transfer RNA is filed under the name Terebellides stroemii. RNAcentral's name for it is "tRNA-Asp". The record is from RNAcentral. Lineage: Eukaryota; Metazoa; Annelida; Polychaeta; Terebellida; Trichobranchidae.
GAAGUUUUAGUUAAUAGUAUAACAUAGGAAUGUCAUCCCUAAAUUACCUUAUAGGUAAACUUCU